Molecule: ribosomal RNA, 414 nt
Filed under: uncultured microorganism
Description: bacterial SSU rRNA
Rfam family: Archaeal small subunit ribosomal RNA
Source: RNAcentral
CAGCCGCCGCGGUAAUACCGGCGGCCCGAGUGGCGGUUACUAUUAUUGGGCUUAAAGCGUCCGUAGCCGGGUUGGGGAGGCCUCCGGGAAAUCUGGCCGCCUAAAGGGCAGAAUGCCGGAGGAUACUCCCAGCCUAGGGAGCGGGAGAGGCCGAGGGGAUUCCCGGGGUAGGGGUGAAAUCCUAUAAUCCCGGGAGGACCACCUGUGGGGAAGGCGCUCGGCUGGAACGCGUCCGACGGUGAGGGACGAAGGCCAGGGGAGCAAACCAGAUUAGAUACCCGGGUAGUCCUGGCUGUAAACGAUGCGGACUUUGUGUCGGACAAGCUAUGAGCUUGUCCGGUGCCGGAGGGAAACCGUUAAGUCCGCCGCCUGGGGAGUACGGCCGCAAGGCUGAAACUUAAAGGAAUUGGCGGG